UUGCUCACUAAGGGACUUUUUUGAAGCAAGAGAAGUAACGCAUGACAUCUUUCUCUCUCGAAUUAAAAUGUGACUUGAUUCACCCGGUAAAAUCGCAGUGGGAGAUGGAAUUGGCCGGGAGUGGAGUCGCAAAGAGGAGUUUUCGGUGGACACAGCAUCUUUAUUUUAUUUGUAUGUGGUGCUGAGGAUCGAACCCAGCGUCCCGCGCAUGCCAGUUUUCAGCGGACACAACAUCUUUGUUUGUAUGUGGUGCUGAGAAUCGAACCCGGGCCGCACGCAUGCCAGGCGAGCAUGCUACCGCUUGAGCCACAUCCCCAGCCCCUGGAUUUAUCAUUUAAUAGCUAUGUGGUGUCCUCUGUAAAUGAUGACAUCCACUUGUCCUCACUUGUAAAGUUUCUAGGUGCAGGAGAGUUCCUGUCUUACAGUGGGCAUUGAAUGAGUUUUAUGUCUCACAGAAGGAAGACUGUUGAAGAGAAGAGUCACCCACAGUUUAGGAGAUAAGGACUGGACUAUAUCUUCUUGAUGGAAGUAGAAAUGGGAACUUCUUAAACUCUGGGGCCCUUGUAUGCCCUGCUAAACUCUGACCAGCCACCACACCUGCCAAAACCAGACAACCUUCUGAAAAUAAAAUAGACAACACACUUGGGCUAGUCAUAAGGCACCUGCACACCAAAAAUCCCAAGUUAUCCUCAGCUGUGCACAGCAGAUGGCCCCAAUUAGCCCCAGAAUUAUGCAACAGCAAACCCAAACAUUGCUAGCCAAUUAACAUCACUCAGGCAUUUUACUUUCCUAAAAUAUGGGAUAGAGAGUUUUGAGUGCUUUGGCUUAUAGAAAACAAAAACAAAAACCAUACCCCUUUUCUGUAAACCUCACUGGAGAGUGUUUUCUAGACCUUUACCUAUUUCUGAGCUAGGUUCUCCACUUGGCAAUAAAGCUUUUCCACUCAGUCUCAAUCUUAGGUCUCUAAUACUCAUUAUUUUUCUUUAACAGCAAACAGAAAGAAGUCAUUUCUUAGUCUUGGCAGAAGACAUGGCAAUUAUUCCCCUAUGGGAGAAAAUAAAAGAAAGCCCCAGUGAACUUGCCAUGAUAGCUAUUGAUGCUUUGCAUAAAAGAGAACAAAACUAUAAGAACAGUCACAAGGUUGGAAUAAGUUGCUUCAACAGGACAAUCAAUCUCUCUGACUAGCCUGAUUCAGUGUCAGAGAAGCUAUACUGAGUAUUUACAUUGGCCAAAACUGCAUUAGAAGCCAAAAAAAUGAAAAUGAGUAAAACAUGGUCCAUAUCCUAAGGGCUUCAACACCUCAUGGGAGCUGGGCAUGGUGGUGCACACCUCUAGAAUCCCAGUGAUCCUAGAGGUUGAGGCAGGAGGAUUGCAAGUUCGAGGCCAAUUUGGUGACUUUGUGAGAACUUGUCUCAAAAUAAAAUAUAAAAAGGGCUGAAGGAAUAGCUCAGUGGGUAGGGUGCCCUUGGGUUCAAUCUCCAGUACUGUCAGAAUAAACAACAACAACAACAAAAAUGCCUAAAGGGAAAAGAUAAACACAUAAUGUAACACAUCAUGAUAUUGGUUGAUACUGAAAAAGACCCAAAAUGAAAAGUACUCCGGAGGAGUACUCUGGUGAGUGGUCAAUUCUAACUGUGGAAUAAAAGAGAAGACUUCACACAGGGGAAAUACUGAUGUUAAUUAGGACCUUCAUGUUGGUUCUAGCAAGUAGUUAUUAUGUGAAAAUGAAACAAAUUAUGGAGUUUACUGACAAUUCAAAUUUAUCCUAAUUCUUCUAUUUUUAUUAAUCUUUUAAAUUUGUACAUAAAUAUUUAUUUCACAAAUAUGUAUUUAUAUAUGUUAUCUAUACCCAGGUUUAUGGAUGUGUGUGAAUUUAUGUAUAUAUAAAAUAAAUUUAUGUAUUCAUAUAUGUAUAUGAAAUACUAUGCUUUUGUAACUUGUUUCUGCUUCUCUGGUAUAGGUUCAAGUGCUUAAAUGCUUGAAGCUGUUUUUUCUGCUAUGUAUUGUAGAUACGCAUGGUGAUUUCUUUUGCAUAAACUAAAACUUGGAUCACUCUCCAUUAUACACUCAUGAACUGUAUAAUGUCAUUUUGGUCAACAAUAGGCUGUAUAUGAUGGUGGCUAUUCCAUAGCCUAUCUGUGUAUAGGAUACACCAGCUAAGUUUGUGUAAGUAUAUUCUACGAUGUUUGCACAAUGACAAAAUUACCUGCUGACAAACAUAUUCCUAUUUUUAAGUGACUACAUAUAUUUGUAUAUGCAUGUAUACUUCCUUUUACAUGAAUUCUAAUACUACCUUCCUUUCUUCUUUUGCAAGACUUCCAUCUUCAUUUUCCACUCUGUAUUUUCUUUAUCAUGCUUGUCUUAUAGUUUGCCUGCAUCAACCAUUUUGAGACUUGGCAACGUGCACCAGGAUCCCUGGAAAAGAGAGCACUGGAGAGGCCCAGAGUUGUAAUCUUUCAUAUAACCCUGCUCCUACUUUUAAGUCUUCAUGCAGUUCAGCAACUUGCAAAUAGGUUUGCACUUUGAAAAGUGCUUCUGUCUUUACUGAACAGAGGUGGUUUAUGUGUAGCACUGCUCUCUUGUUAGCCCUUAGGAGCAUUUUUGUUUAAUAAUAUAUUUGCUGGAGCUCUCUGCUUCAACCUUUCUAAUGUUGUCCCUUCUUCAACUGUCUCUGGGUCAAGAUGAUCCAAAAAGAAAGGAUUUAUCCUGUUCCCUUUACUUUACCAGGAAGAAAGUUCCAAGUAAUGUCACCUGAAAAGGUUCCCUGAUUAGGACAAAGACUAUUUUCUGCACUAUUCCAGGAAGCACCCUUCCCAGCUACUGAGAUUAAGUCACAGAAAUUUACUUAUUCAUCAUUACAAGCCCACUCUUGAGUAGUGGAGCAGCCCUGUUGGAAGCUUGCCUCAAGUCCCUUCUAUUAUAUAGGCCACAAAAGCACUUUUCAAACUGUAAUGCAUCAUACAAGUACAGGAUAUUAUUGCAAUUAUAAUAGAAACUGCAACCCAUUAAUAAGCAAGUCUUCCCAGGGUGUGGUGGUGCAUGCCUGCAGUUCCAGCUACUGAGGAGGCUAAGGUAGGAGAAUGGUUUGAGUGCAUGAUUUCAAGACAAGCCUGGGAAACAUGGUAAGACCCCCAUCUUAAAAAAAAAAAAAAAAAUUGAAGAAUAAGUCUUUGUGCACAGGUCACAUCCAUCCCUUUUUCCUUUAGCACCAUAUAUAUGAAUGACUCUGGGCCUAAUUUAUUCUAGGUACAUAUGUGUUUUGAUUAUCAUCUAGCAUUUAUAUCAUUUAUAAAUAUCUUCAGAUUUAAAGGGGAAAAAAAAUCCCGUGAACAGAUUUGCCUACCUACCUCUGUAGAGCUAAAACAUACACUAGUAAUUUACAAGAAAUAAGAACUAAUUCUGUCAAAUCAACUGGCUCCUAAAGGUAAUUUCCAAAUCCUCCAUGUUUACCUUUUCUCCUUUAAAUUUUCAUAUUCUAAUUUUUCCUUGUCAUCUCCUUCCCAUUUAGGCUGAAAAUACUUGUUAUUCUUAUGGCAGUAUAAGGCAUAUGACACAAUAUCAAAUGGUAAUAUUCACUAAUUAAUGGAAUUAUAUCAAUGAAACUGUUGAAUUUUAAGUGUGGCAUACCAAAUUGUAUAUUACACUAUGAUUAAAACAAAGUAAACAUCGUAUAUGUACUCCCCAGCGCCCCCCCACACCGUGUGUGUGUGUGUGUGUGUGUGUGUGUGUGUGUGUGGAGUUGGGGGGCAGAUACAAUUGAGAAGGAAUAUACAGAAACAAAAGAAUUAUUAUACAGCAAUAUAGGAAUUAUCAGUGACUUAAAAAAAAUCCCUUGUAAAAAAUUUAAGUCUGGCUGGGAAUGUAGCUCAAUAUAAAGCACUUGCCUAGCACAAGUGAGGCCUUGGGUUCCAUCCCCAGUACAGCCCCCACCUCAAAAAUAAAGUCUAUUUAAUAAGAAAGAAAAUGGAUGCCUUUGGGUUUAUAUGUUUAUGCCACUGAGCUUCCUUCCCUCUGCCUCCCAUCUUCUACCUUUGCACUUUCUUUUGUGAUUCUUGCCCCUCCCCUCACCAAGUGUUUGAAUGUAAGAAGCCAUCUGCUUCUGUUAUUUAUCCUGACCACACAUUCUGCAUAAGCGACAAGUGGGGUCAGUAUCCAAAUCCUGGUUGCUUCUUCCUGUGUGUUUCUUCUCUGAAGUGUGAUCUGCACAGUUAAGCACUGUAGAUGAGCCUUGAGUCACAUUCCCUGAUUGUCUCCUUCAAGCUCCCUCAUCAGUGUGACAAGGAAACUGAAAGACAAUAUCCUUCUCACCUUCAGCCUUUCACUUAUUUGCACAGAUGGCCCAAUCUGAAAUCCGUCCUGGGGCAGAAUUAAAAACAGUUUUCCUAAUCCCUUUCUUUGGUGUGUCCCCUAAUUCCCCUUUAACCACAAAAUUAUUCUCUUUGCCCCUUUACAGUAUACUUUGUGCCUUGUGAGUCAUGCUUCAGGAAAUUUUUUUUGCUUGCUUUGCAGUAAGCUUAAAAAACCCAAGAAUUUAAAAAUAUUAGUGCUUCUCAAUUCCCAAUGGCUUCCAUUUUAGUUUUGAAAAUGCCAUUGUUAAUAUAUCAUGUUUAUGUAGGCAAAAGUAUGCCAAAAUAUAAAAUCUUGUGAUAGAACGAUAACUACUGAGUUAACAAGGGAGGCUAUAAUAUAAUGAUAAACAUUGCAAUAAAAGAAAGUCUGUAAUAUACUAGGUGUUAAUGGAUUAAAAAUAUUUAAGAGGAGCAAAUAUGUUAUAAUAAGAAGAAUUUAAAAAGUUGAGUGAUCUGUGGAUAUGUGUUCCUUUGUCAAUUUCUACUGUUUGUAUGCCUGUGUUUUUUCACAAUUUUUAAAAGAUUUCAUUGUUAAAAUUUCCUAUUGCGUUUUGCUGACCAUUUGAACUAUUUUACAUAUACUAUUGAAAUCUUGCAGAAAAAUAGCAAUGAGAUAAGUUUGAAGGUGAAAGGAGAGAGAAUCUUUACAAAGUGGGGAGUUGUGGGAGACAAGUUGCAGUUAACAGAACAGUUAAACUAAACAAAGGUAGAUAAAUUACAGAAGUUACAAAGAAGAACUAAAGUGAGUUACCUAAACAAUAGAGGAACUAAAAGUGAGACACCCAUCCUGGGAGGGAGGAGGGUGUAAGUGAACUAAGCUCUCAUCUAACAGAAUAGGAAGGAAGUCCACAGAUCAGAUAAAGUCUGAUAAAUAAAGAAGUGGCAAUAUGACUGUAUUAUUUAGAGAUAGGGAAGUAACCACCCAGAAGAAUUUUUUAAAAUGUAACUGUUAAAAAGUUAGACUUUCUCUAGAGUUUUAGUGGAAGGCAAAAUGAUGUUGUAGAAACAAGACAUAGCAGCAAAGCAUCCUUACAUUCCACAAUAAACUCUUCAACCUGAA
Long non-coding RNA from Marmota monax (woodchuck), 5409 nucleotides. RefSeq lists it as uncharacterized. Lineage: Eukaryota; Metazoa; Chordata; Mammalia; Rodentia; Sciuridae. The transcript has 3 exons. The record is from RefSeq and is a predicted model, not a curated record.